Molecule: long non-coding RNA, 377 nt
Filed under: Vigna radiata
Lineage: Eukaryota; Viridiplantae; Streptophyta; Magnoliopsida; Fabales; Fabaceae
Description: long non-coding RNA (VRAD_LNC000736)
Source: RNAcentral
GUGGUUUAACUUAUCUAGUAGUGUAAACUGAUUAAGUUUGACUUGAUUGUAUAUAUCUUUUUUAUCUUUUUAUCUUUUUAUUAUUAUGUUUUUAUUUUUUUUAUUUUUUUUAAAAAUAUAAAAAAGUGCUACUAGGGUUUGUGUUUCUUGUGCAUGCAAUAGGAGACUAGACAUACUAGAAGCAAGAAAAAUACGCAACCUCUUCUUGAAGGCUUAAGCGGAGCAAGAGGGAGAAGGAGAGUCAGACGCCCAUCUAGGGAUUUUUUUCCUUCACCAGACAGAUUACUAUCACCUUCACCAGCUAGAAGAACAGAGGAGAUGGCUAAAAAAACUCCUCCAAGAUGCACUCUUGCAGACCAAUCAGAUACGGUUGGCCC